Molecule: long non-coding RNA, 6248 nt
Organism: Astatotilapia calliptera (eastern happy)
Lineage: Eukaryota; Metazoa; Chordata; Actinopteri; Cichliformes; Cichlidae
Source: Ensembl
GCGCUGGUGACGCUGUUGCAACUUACACCGCGCUGAUGCUUUUCCGUCUUGUGGUUGGGCGUUGCAGGUUGACCGUAUCUUGUUUUUUCCUUUUUUGAUCUUUUUAAGUUCGGGUUUUAUUUUCGAAGCUGUAUAGCCUUGCUCUAUCUAGUCUAAUGUUUGCGACAAGUUUAAUUUUAGCGUCUUGAGCAUUAUUGAUCAUUAUUUUAAUGCAAGUACUUUAAAUCUCUAGAUGUAACGUGUUUUCGGUUUGUUAAACGCUUUUUAGUACUGCUUUAUUGCAAAUGAUUAAGAUUGUAGAAGAUAAACACAAAUUCUACUUAGUCAGAUCAAAGGCCUGAUUCUUGUUUUUUUGCCGAGGGCUGUUGAGCUAACGCUAGGCUUAGCCAGCCAAAUGUAUAAAUUUGUGCUAGCAUUGUCAGUUAUUCCGCAACAGUUAUUUUUUUUUUAGCUGUCAUGUUUAGCGUUUGUCUAGCGGUUAUCUUGCUUUUUAAAAAUAUAUUCCAAGUAACCAUUUUUGGUCAUACUAACAGCAGUUGGCUCGAGAUGGGAGCUGUAACGUAGAAACGUGUAAACGUCGUCUAUUGGCUAAUUCAAUUAACGUCAUGACGUAAGUAGACGGCAGUGGAAAAGGGAGUGGUCAGACUGACGGCCAUUAUCAGCCUUCACGUAGUGCUUUUCGAGAAGGUGUAGAAAGCUUUUAGCAACAAAAUGGCAGAGGAACAUUUUUCAUACUUUUGAAAUUAAUAAGGCAGUGAAGUUAAGUGCCUAAUUAGGUUCCUAAAGAGUACUGACUUUGCAAUGUGGUCUCUAAGAUUAGAUCACAAUGUAACUACAGUUGACGGAGUCUGUUAAAUAUUCGAAAAUUCGUUUUUAUUCCGAAGAAAGAAAAUAAGGAUGUCUUGUCGUGAUCAGACGCAGAUUAUGAGAAGUGCUAGUAAUUGUAUUUAAAACGGAGGGUUUAUGUAAGCUCGGAGGUGCUAUCGAACUACGAUAGACUAGACCAGCCUGUGUUUAUUUAAAAAAAAAAAAAAGCAUCAGGAACAGAUUAAGUAACAACAGCGUCAAAGAAGCAAUGAAGACGUUUUUAUUUUUGUUUGAUAGCUGUUACUUGGAUGAGGUCCUUACCUCUGUCUUUUCACUCUUAUCCCAUUGAUCGGGGAAGCAUUUUGCAAUGCGAAGUUUUUUAUUUAAUUUUUUUUAAUCGACAUUUUCGCUCAGUUUCCAUCAGUCAUUAGACUUGAAGUUUCAAGCUAUCAAUUCUGCAUUCAAAGAAAGAAGAUAGCAUAAGUCAAGUAAUGCUGAAGAAUGGAAGCUUAUCUUAGAGCUCUAGUAGUAGCUCAAGCAAUAUCAAGUUCAGAUUUAUGGACCUUGAGAAGAAAUUAAAAAAAAAAAAAAAAAAGGUUCAUCACUUAGGGAAGACAGAAGACUUUUUUUUGGGGGGGGAGAUGGACUGAGUUAUCACGGGGAGGAAUGGACUUAGUUAUUAGAUGAAGAUCGAAGGACGGCUUGGAGCGAGGUCGCGGGACACGGGGAGGACCACAGAGGAGCCAGCCAGGCAGGACAGGACCAGAGGGCGUGGGAGGACCAGUGUGGAGCCAGGCAGGACAGGACCAGAGGGGCGUGGAGGGGAGGAGCAGAGGGGGCCAAGAGAGCAGGAAGCAUCAGGAGCUGUCGGCCAGUGUGUACGCCAGAGGGAGCCAGAAACGCAGGGCAGUGUAGAAGCGCAGUGACCAGCCCCGAUGCCGAUCCAGUGCUGAGAGGGUGGGACAAGGGCGUGCAGACUUCUAGCGUCACAAGUUUAAAGCGGGGCUUUGGUUUGUAUACUGGGUAGAGGUAUUUCUGUAACACUCAGUAUUUGGUUUUUGUACUUUCCAGAAACAUCUGUUGUCGAACAACUUCUCGCACAGCUCUCUCUUCCUCUUUUCAGGCAAGCCGUGUAAAGUGUUUUGUACCGUGGUCACCCCUCCUGUUGUGCGCUGAAAUGUGUGGUGGUGUCUGCUGUGAUGAAUGCCUUGGUAGUGUGCUGACGAGGAGCGUCUUAAUGGACUUCUCUACCCCCCUGCGAUCACAAGUAGUUUCCACAAGCGGAGGGAGAGGCAGUCCUUUUGUUGUUCGAUAGGUCUUCCCCCAGAGAAGUUUUCUGCAUUGGAGUGUGAAAGUGGAUGGUCUCCCAUACGGCCAAUUGUGUAUUCGGCAACUCUUCGGUACUUCAGCUGCGCCUCUUUGGUACAGAUCAGCUACAUCUACCUCUUAAACCCAAGCUGUGAGUUAAUGCAUGGAAUGUACAUGUGGGUGUAACUAUCCUGUACAUUAACUCAUCAUUACAUUUCAUAAGUAUACAGUAAUGACUUCACUCAAAAGGGAAUUUGCAUUGAAAUGGUAGUUGAUCCUGGUGGGUAAAUAUUUUUGGCUUAAGGGGAGGGGUGGGAUGGGGGGGUUGUUAAAACUUGUUUGGAGUCUUUCUUUUUACAGGCCUGGCCCCCUAACGCGAUCAUCGACAGAAUCCCCCCCCCCCCUUUCUAGCUGCUUGGUACAAGUUGAGCUCAUCCUAUAUACAGUAGUGAUAUGGAUCGAGAUCAUGCGCAUCCACUGUGCUUAAACGAGAUAUAGAAAGGGGUGGGUUGUGGGGCGUUAAUCCGUCUCUUCCUAGACUUCACAGCUCCACAUUGCCCAGUGCACAUGGCUUGAAUAGGAAACAUCCAGGCGCAAGCAACAAGAUUCAACUGGACACUUAACAACGCAAGAUAGCAACCUCAAAAGUAGUCUUCUGAUGUAGUGAAGCUCCUUUCCCCCAGGGAGAGUGCGAUUAACUUUUAAGGCCCAUCCUUCAAAAAGCUACGUCCAAGUCCAUGCCUACAGUUAAGGAAGGAGUCCCUCAUACUCAGGCCUGUGGUAUUUUAAAUGUUUCUUAUGGCAAAUGGCUUCAAUCUUUUGUGAAUUGUAUUUGUAGUCUUAAAGUUGGGCUUGUUAAAGCAGUUGCUGUAAUCCCAGUAGUGUCUUGUAGUUUUCUACAAUGUUACUUUAAUGCCAGUGUUGUAGUUUUCUACCAUAUUGUAUUAGGGCAGGGGUGUUGUGGGGAGAGGCUUUUCUUUGCAUUUUUUCAGUGUGCUGUGUCCUGUGUGCUUUCAAUACCCAAGACCAUCAGGAACUCCUAACUCAUUGUAUGUACAAGUUUCCUUGCGCAUCGAGCAUCACGUAAGGUGGCUAAAUGUGAUCAUUUACUUUAACAUUCAUUAUUUGGCUAAUUGCCUUCAUUGCAAUUCCUUUGCAAUUAGUUACUUUGCUUUGUAUCGCCAAUACAAUGAGUGAACUAUCUGUAAAGGAUUUUCUUACUGCAUAAUAAAUGCAUAGCUUGUUGUGAUUGAAUACAGUUUUGGUAUGCAUUUGUUCUUUUUGGGGGGGCUUGUGUGGGGGAGCUUUUCUUGUGCUUUUUCAGGUAUGACUAAAGCUUGGAGCUUUGUAGAGCACGGAUGUGACCUGGGCUCGAAUGACUUCUAUUUCAAAGUGGAAAGUGAAGGCAGAUAAGUUGAAUCCAUCAAAUAUUGAUGUCGAAAAACAGAAAAUUCUCAGCCCUAUAGGGGUCACUUAUCUUGACUGGACUUGCGUGUCCUCAUUCUUGAAAUGAAAGCAACUUGCUAUACUUGACAGUAGAAAUAGCACUCCUGUGCUUUCUUAACAAGUCACUUGUGAUAACGGGAAGAUUUGAUGGACCUUCAUUGAUUCUGACAUUAUCUGCAGUAAAGCAUUUGGGUAAGGAUAACAAUAGUCAGUUCUACGAUACUGUGGGGAGGGGUAUAGGGGUGUUUCUUUUCUGCCUCUUUGCUCUUACAGAACAAUCCAAAGGAAGAAAGCAGUGUACCUAGGAGAACACAAGAAUCACGCUGCGCUUUGAACUCCACCAACAUGCAGUUUGAACAAAAGGAGUCAGGUUUUUGAUGUUUACAUAUAUUAGAGCAUUUAGCCCUCAGCUGCUUGCCCUUGUGCAACUGUGCAAGUGGCAGGUUGGUCACCUUAGCAAUCGCGCAACUGUGCGAAGUUUCAAAAUUUAAGCAGCUGAGGAAAGCUGCGCAUGGUGCGGCUUAAUUUGGUCUGAAAUGCAGCGCAAAUGUGCUGCCUUAGUUUCUAUUGUGUUGUGGUUGGGCGUAUCCCUACACUUCUCUUCACAGAACUCACAGUGCAAGACUGGUUCAAGCACGAGUCAAGUCCUAACCCGGAGCAUGUAGUAAGCUGUUGGCUUUACUUGUCAAAACUUCUGCAAUGUUGUAGUUGACAAAAUGACAUCUUGGAACUGGCUUUAUGUUAACCUCAAAUCAUCAGUAACAAUGCUUUACUAGCUUAUUCCUCUUUGGCCUUGGGGCCCUAUUGCUUUGCAUCUUACAACCAUAAGAUGAGUAGAACCCAAAUCUUUUGAGUAUUGUGUGGUGGGUGUGUUGUGUAGAUCACUCUUUGUUUCAGAUCAUUCUCGUCUGUCCACUCCGAUCUCGCCUGCCUCUGAAUGCAAAGCCAUCUGUGGAAGCUGUCAGCGAUAUGAGUGUGGCCCCUGAAUGAAGUACCAAUCCCCUGUGCGCUUGAGCUUAAAUCUGAACCCCUGACGUCCUUCGCAGAAGCCCCCGCUCUCUGUGUUUGUGUGCCUUUUUCUUUCCCUUUGGUUUCUCAGGUCAAAUUACCCCAAAUUCUUAAUUUUUCAUCUGGGAUGGCCUAACCUGUGAUGGAACACUGAGAAUCCAGUCACAUUAAGAUCAAGAGCUGCAAGCUUGUUUUCGCUAAUACUGCAUCACUUCAGUCUCGUGGGUGCUAAGUUAAGUAAUUUCGGUUCCCUUGAUUUUUCUUUAACAUACCAUGGCUUUAAUGUGUAACUCAACAUGUUGCAUGCACAUCAGCUAUGCAUAACAUUUUAUUUGUAAAACAAUGUUCAUAAAGUCGUUGUCAAACAUUGCAGUAGUAUUAUGGUUAGGAGGGUCUGGGGGGGGGGCAAACACUCUUCUUUCUCCCUUUUUCAGAUUUCUCAUUCAGCUUAACUUGCUACUGAACCAGAGAACUUAAAGGUCUGCAGGGAGUCAUUGGAUCACUUGGUACUGCCAGCCUCUAGGGUUCAUUUAAUACAUUGAAGAGCUGAGCAUCAGAGGAAGAAUAGCUGUGGUAAAUGCUGCAUCAGCUGUGGUAAACUACAACAAUGUUGAUAAAUUCAAUCUCCCAUCAUAUUGGAUGAGUCUUGGUACAAGUGUGGGGUUUGGGUGGGGGGGGGGGGCUUAAAUUGUCUGUCUUUUUUCCCAUUGCAGCCAUAAAAUUGGCAAGAAAGCCUUCACUGUCAGUUGACCCGCGACUCGUGCUGAAUUGCAGAGGGGAAAAUCGCUUUGACAAGGGAUUCUGGUAUCGUGGUUUUAUUAUGGCUAAACGGAUUUCGUGGAAUAAUACACCAAUACAGUGUCGCUGUGGGGAAUUUUGGGGAUUGGGGAAACCAGACGUCUCUCUGUUCUAGUUUCAGCCUCGUGACCAAGAGAAUCCCCGUGGUGACAGCAUAAUUAGCAUCCAGGUGUCGGGUUUUCUUUUCCUGGAAGAACAUUUGUUCUUCCAAAUGUUCUUCCAGGUUUUGCUUUUGCCCUAACUAGCAAAAACAAAAAGCAAAAGACUCCGGUGAUGGCACUCCUGACUCUGUCGGGACGGGGUUCAAUUCCCUGCGGUGUCUUGCUUUUUUAAAAUAAGCUUUGUGGGGCUGAAAGUAUAUUUAAUAACACUUCAACUUUAAAAUGGCUUCCAUAAAAGGACAAUGUCUGGGUGGGGAAAAUAUUUGUAUGGAAAUGAUCAAUAAAACUUUAAAACAAUGUCUCUGUUUUUGUCUCUGUUCUAUCGAUAAUUACAUCAAUAUUCUGUAAAUGACUUGAUGAGGUGGGCAUAAUGCAUAAAGAUUACUUCACAUUGUAUUCCGGCUGUCCUGUGAUGAUUAGCAACAGCUUUAUAAACCUCAUUUUGCAGUCUGUGUCCUGGACACGACCCUUCUUGAGGUCCAUGUCACAUGAUAACAAAUGGAAGAGGUGAGGUCAGGAAAGAAGACCUGAGGGGAGCAGGCAUCCAACAAAAGUCAUCCUUGCUCUGGAUCCUCUUUAGUACAACAGCAUAAAACAGUCCAGCUAUUGCUGUAUGUUUUGAUCUCAGCUCUUCUAUGAGAUAACUAUGCAGAGUAUCAUGAACAAUAACAGCUAGCUCUGAAGUAGCAUUUUGCUAUACAUGUAUGUUAUUUUUGGGGG